RNAcentral lists this ribosomal RNA (245 nucleotides) under uncultured bacterium. RNAcentral's name for it is "partial 16S ribosomal RNA". It matches the Rfam family "Bacterial small subunit ribosomal RNA", at positions 532 to 776 of the family's 1533-position model. The record is from RNAcentral.
GGGCUAGCGUUGUUCGGAAUCACUGGGCGUAAAGGGCGCGUAGGCGGCUUUGUAAGUCGGGGGUGAAAGCCUGUGGCUCAACCACAGAAUUGCCUUCGAUACUGCAUGGCUUGAGACCGGAAGAGGUAAGUGGAACUGCGAGUGUAGAGGUGAAAUUCGUAGAUAUUCGCAAGAACACCAGUGGCGAAGGCGGCUCACUGGCCCGAUACUGACGCUGAGGUGCGAAAGCGUGGGGAGCAAACAGG